Molecule: unclassified non-coding RNA, 709 nt
Filed under: Hevea brasiliensis (rubber tree)
Lineage: Eukaryota; Viridiplantae; Streptophyta; Magnoliopsida; Malpighiales; Euphorbiaceae
Source: RNAcentral
AUGACAUGAAAUUUAUGGCUGAAAAGUAUGACCGAACUUGUAUUGAUCGUCUCAAAAUGGUCUCUUCAACCCCUUUUGUUCGAAUUUCCUACACGGAAGCUGUUGAACUACUUGAGGAAGCCGUAAAGAAGGGCAAGGAAUUUGAGAACAAAGUGGAAUGGGGGAUUGAUUUAGCUUCGGAGCAUGAAAGAUACUUGACCGAGGUUAUAUUUAAAAAGCCUGUCAUUGUCUAUAACUAUCCAAAAGGAAUCAAAGCAUUUUAUAUGAGACUCAAUGACGACUUGAAAACUGUAGCUGCAAUGGAUGUUCUUGUACCUAAGGUUGGGGAAUUGAUUGGUGGAAGCCAAAGGGAGGAGCGAUACGAAGUUAUUCAUGACAGGAUCAAGGAGAUGGGUCUGCCACUUGAACCAUAUGAAUGGUAUCUUGAUCUGAGACGAUACGGGACAGUCAAGCACUGUGGUUUUGGUCUCGGCUUCGAGCGGAUGCUUCUUUUUGCCACCGGCAUUGACAAUAUCAGAGAUGUUAUUCCCUUCCCCAGAUAUCCAGGACGAGCAGACCUAUGAUUAUACAACACAAAUUCUUAAGUUCCCUUACUACCUGAUGAAACUAGAGACCUUCGAAUGAGAAGAUUUGAUUGUUUGUAUUAUACAUCUUUCGAAUUGUUGGGUUUUAGUUUAUUCUCAGAAAUUUUUGGAUUGGUGAGAUUUAU